RNAcentral lists this ribosomal RNA (253 nucleotides) under uncultured bacterium. Its description in RNAcentral is "partial 16S ribosomal RNA". It matches the Rfam family "Bacterial small subunit ribosomal RNA", at positions 524 to 776 of the family's 1533-position model. The record is from RNAcentral.
UACGGAGGGUGCGAGCGUUGUUCGGAAUUACUGGGCGUAAAGCGCGUGCAGGCGGCCGACUAAGUCAGGUGUGAAAGCCCGGGGCUCACCUCCGGAAGUGCGCUUGAAACUGGUCGGCUAGAGUAUGGGAGAGGGAAGCGGAAUUCCUGGUGUAGCGGUGAAAUGCGUAGAUAUCAGGAGGAACACCGGCGGCGAAGGCGGCUUCCUGGACCGAUACUGACGCUGAGGCGCGAAAGCUAGGGGAGCAAACAGG